CGGGGCGUAGCGCAGCAUGGUAGCGCGUCUGCUUUGGGAGCAGAAUGUCGGAGGUUCAAAUCCUCUCGCCCCGACCA
Molecule: transfer RNA, 77 nt
Filed under: Holosporaceae bacterium
Lineage: Bacteria; Pseudomonadati; Pseudomonadota; Alphaproteobacteria; Holosporales; Holosporaceae
Description: tRNA-Pro
Rfam family: tRNA
About the family: Transfer RNA (tRNA) molecules are approximately 80 nucleotides in length. Their secondary structure includes four short double-helical elements and three loops (D, anti-codon, and T loops).
Source: RNAcentral